AGACAGGAGAAAAUAUUUCAUUUUGUAACGGUAAAAAAAAGACUCAGCUCUUUAACCCAGAUUCACUUUGGUCUUCACCAAACGAGCAGAGUUCAGGUUAAUUAUUAAAAAAUCGGACUUGUUGUGUAACAUGCUGCUAAAGGAAAGCAGAGCAGCUGCAGACUUUAGAUGUAACUGUCACAGCAAAACAUAUAAAACAAGACACAUAGAGAUAAUGUUAAUGUGAUGAGCUGCGUCUACCCCUGGCAAUCAGAUUGUUCAGUUAUGAUUUUGUCCCUGAAGCUUUCUUUAAAAUGUGAGUUGUGUUUUUUCACGUUUCACAGGUCACAUAAGGUUGGAGGUGGGCAUAUCUAGUCCUGCACAACAAAACUGGAUGGAUCACAUCAGAGGGAACAGGAAACAGAGCGAUGUUACACGUACAAAUAAAAAAAACAAUGUUAUCCCAGAUGAUAAAACAUGCACAUAAUUGUAAUCAUUUUCUGCAUAAAAAGUCACCCAAAAGCCUGAACUGUGUCUACACAUCUGAAAACUGUUUUUUUUAAACAUAUUUUUUUUUAGAAAAGGACAAAUGAAAUCCUUAACACAAAUACGUCUUGGAAGAAGAAAAACAGACAUAUUUUACGCAAUACCAUCCAUUUUUUGGCUUUUUUGAAUGAAGUACUGAGUGUUUUAAUCUUGUAAAGACUUUUAGAGUAUUCAAAUGAAACAAUUCCCAAGCCAAAAAGGUCAACGGGAACCACUGUGUUAUAUUGUUGGGUCGUUUGAACAACAAAGAUAUUAUAUUAGCUUUUCGUCUGUUUUAUUUUCAAAGUAUCAGAGCAGUAUUUGAGAGCUCGACUUAAAUGCAACAGCGUCUUUUAUUUUGAAAGCCUCUGGAGUCGGAAGUGUUGCAGGUGUUGUUGAACCCGGUUGCGGCACUUCAAAGAUGUCUGCCGGCAAGGAGACGCUUUAUGCUUCUUUAUCAAAUCUUCUUUAUCAACGGAAAAAAAAGAUUGAAGGAGCGUUCAUGCAGGGUUUGGGUCUCUACACUCUGGAAGAGUUGAAGUUUUCCCCCUCGGGGCUCUUGUACACUCGUGGUCCAUCUCAGUAUAAGAUCCCUGCGGUGUGCGAUGUGCCACUCUGAUUCAACGUCUAUCUGCUGUCAGAUUCCCACAACCCCCAUGCUGUCUACUCUUCAAAGGUGACAUUCCCCAUAAUCCUUUGGCUCUGCAGAGAACCCGUCCUCUUCCUGGGCAGUUCAGUGUUCUUCGCCAUCAAAGAUGCCGUGGCUGCAGCUCGCUCAGAGUCCGGUCUAGUUGGCCCGUUUACUCUGAGCAGCCCUGCAACACCAGAGAGGGCCUGUUUGGCCUGUGCCACCCCGUUCACUCAGAAGAUUCCAGGCAGCAAACCAGGAUCUUUUAAACUGUGUACAAAUUGAAAUUCUGUGUGUUUUCCUUUCUUCAGUGUUCAAAUUAAAUCUAAACUGUGAAAUAAUUUGAACUAACAAUAAUUAACUAAUACAGUUAUUUUACUCAACCAUUCAAGGAUUCAAGCGGUUUAUUAUCAUUUCUAUUAUACAUUUACAUGUGAAUAAAAAAGGAAAUAGAUACUAAUCCUUUCUGAACUAUUUUUAAAGGUUAAUUUUUAAUGAACAAAUCAAACGUUUUACUGACACCAUAUUGAGCAUCUGUUCUCAUUCUGUACCAUGUAAAUGUGAAAUAAAUACAUUAUUUUACAGCACAUUUGAAAGUUUUUGCUUAUGCAUUUGUCUUGCAGGAUCAUUUUCAACAACAGAAUGAAUAAUCGGACGAAUACUGAAAACAAAAAAAAAAUCAAAUGAAAUUAAGAAAUGACAUUCUAUAACAAGUGAUUUUAUCUUUAGUACAAAGACUUUAAGUGUCACAGUAGAGACAUAAGCCAUAAUAAAAACUGGAA
Molecule: RNA transcript, 1914 nt
Organism: Toxotes jaculatrix (banded archerfish)
Lineage: Eukaryota; Metazoa; Chordata; Actinopteri; Toxotidae
Gene name: aldehyde oxidase 2-like
Exons: 4
Source: RefSeq, a predicted model, not a curated record